UGUAUUCGUGAUUAGAUUGAGGUUAUGAAUUAAAGAGGGAUAUCACAGACGUGUCCUUCUCAGUACACCAUUCAGAGAUGGUGGGGAGAUAUGAUGCUGAUAUGGACUACUGGGGAUGUUAACCUUGAUCACUUGGUUAAUUAAGGUAGUGUCUGCUAGAUUUCUCCAUUGUAAAGUUACUAUUUUCCUCUUUACUAAAUACUUUGAGACCAUGCAGAUAUCCUGUUUCUGCUUAAAUUUAUGCCCAUUAAUUUUAGCAUCCUUAUUACUCUUGUAUUCUAGUAGCGAUUUUUAUUUCCCUCAUUAUUUCUACAAUAAUUAAUUGGAAUUCUGUGAGGAAGAGUUGUCCUUUCUCCCCCGUUGAUUAUUUAUAUCAGUAUAGACUUAACAGGUAUUUAUUUUAUUCUUUGGAUUGUAACACAAUACUGUUGUUAUUAUUAUUAUUAUUUUCUCAAACUGUUUCAAUCUUGACCAAGGGGAGCUCUUUCUGAUUGGCAUCUGUGGUCAUUCUUUCUUUUUGAGCACUCCUUACAAGUGUUACCAAAUAAUGCUUCAGCCCAUCUUUUAUUUUCCCUGCCUCAACCCUGGAACCUACCACAUUUCCAAGGAUUUUAGUGGUAUUUUGGUAUAAAUGUAAAGUGAUAAAACCAGGUGUCUUUGGUUUUCCUCUAGGCUAGUAAUGUAGGAUUCAGCUUUCUCAGGUAUAACAGUCAUUAUCACCUGUUCUGCUUUCCAGCUUCUAAAAUUGUUUCUGGUUUAUGAUAUUUUAAAGAGUUUCUUUACUCUUGUUUCAGAGAUAUUUGGAGAAGUUUCAGAGCUAAAUGCUUAUAUUCAAUCUAUCCUCUUUAACCAGAAAUUCCUAACUUAAUGUUUUGAUGUCCUGCCCCAAGCUAAUUUUGUUUUAGACACAUUUGACUACAUUAGUUACUGUUUCCAGAUGUGCUAUAUGCCUUCAUUUGUCACUGCUGCUCCCUUGCCCUGUGUGAAUAAUAGGAAUUUGUUUUUAUUAUCCAAUUUUUAAACAGGUAAACUUUGAUUUUACAUGAAAACUACUACUUAAGUACACCAACCGAAAGAACCUAAGGAAAAUUUCUUCUUGUCUCACACCUUUAUUCUACCAGUAUAUUCUCCCUAGAGAACAGCGCAAUGUGCUCUACAUUGUUGUCCAAUAAAUAUUUAUUGAUUAAAUGAAAAUGAAGUCAUAAUGAGACAUUUGUAAUUAGCCUAGUUAUGAAUAACAGGAAAGGAGCAAAGGGAAGGCCAAAUAUUAUAGGUUGUCAUUUGGGUAGCUUUGUCAGGAAGCUGCAGCUUCACACUCCCUAGGGAGCCACCGGUCCAUUCCCCCACAGAUUGCUAGGGGAAGGGACUGGACAGGAGGGAGAAUAGACACAUGGCCAGUAAAGAUGGGGUGACAUAGGGAAAUUGCUUGCUAUCAUUCACACCUAAGAACAGAGGUCAUUAGCCAGAUUGGACAUGGCUACUGCAAGCACAGGGAGAUUUGGGAUACUUAAUUCCCUGAACAAAGAAGUUUGCUCUCUUGGCUCUUGGCAUGUUGUGCUUGACUCCUGGCUUGCAGGGCUCUCUCAUAGACCCAGCCAUGUGGAUCCACACAUACCAUGGACUAAUGGACUACAACUAGCCUGAUGCUGAACUGGACCCGGCUGCAACAUGGAACGGAAACUCUGGACACUGGCUUUGCUUUUAGCUUUACUGAAUCCCCAGCUGCCCUUCUUCCAGGACACUUCAGAAGCACAGACAUACAAUUCCAAGCAAAUAAAAAUCUUUCAUCCUCAUG
Molecule: long non-coding RNA, 1795 nt
Organism: Myotis brandtii (Brandt's bat)
Lineage: Eukaryota; Metazoa; Chordata; Mammalia; Chiroptera; Vespertilionidae
Exons: 2
Source: RefSeq, a predicted model, not a curated record